UCAUCCAGCACACACACACACAUCAUCCAGCACUCACACACCCAUCCAGCACUUACACACCCAUCAUCCAGCACACACACACACCCAUCAUCCAGCACCUCACACACAUCAUCCAGCACUCACACACCCAUCAUCCAGCACUCACACACAUCAUCCAGCACACACACACAUCAUCCAGCACUCACACACAUCAUCCAGCACACACACACACAUCAUCCAGCACACACACACACACAUCAUCCAGCACACACACACA
This is a non-coding RNA of Pelobates cultripes (western spadefoot toad), 256 nucleotides long. The record is from the annotation of a GenBank genome assembly. Lineage: Eukaryota; Metazoa; Chordata; Amphibia; Anura; Pelobatidae.